CCUACGGGAGGCAGCAGUGGGGAAUAUUGCACAAUGGGGGGAACCCUGAUGCAGCGACGCCGCGUGAGUGAAGAAGCGUUUCGGCAUGUAAAGCUCUAUCCGCAGGGAAGAAAAUGACGGUACUUGACCAAGAAGCCCCGGCUAACUACGUGCCAGCAGCCGCGGUAAUACGUAGGGGGCAAGCGUUAUCCGGAUUUACUGGGUGUAAAGGGGGCGCAGACGGCAAUGCAAGCCAGGAGUGAAAGGCAGGGGCCCAACCCCCAGACUGCUCUUGAAACUGUAUGGCUGGAGUGCAGGAGAGGCAAGCGGAAUUCAUGGUGUAGAGGUGAAAUGCGUAGAGAUAAGGAGGAACACUCGUGGCGAAGGCGGCCUGCUGGAACGUUACUGACGCUGAGGCGCGAAGGCGUGGGGAGCAAACAGGAUUAGAUACCCGGGUAGUC
RNAcentral lists this ribosomal RNA (440 nucleotides) under uncultured bacterium. RNAcentral's name for it is "partial 16S ribosomal RNA". It matches the Rfam family "Bacterial small subunit ribosomal RNA", at positions 338 to 795 of the family's 1533-position model. The record is from RNAcentral.